Molecule: ribosomal RNA, 609 nt
Filed under: Triticum aestivum (bread wheat)
Lineage: Eukaryota; Viridiplantae; Streptophyta; Magnoliopsida; Poales; Poaceae
Description: partial small subunit ribosomal RNA
Source: RNAcentral
AUGGAGUCAUCUGCCUUCUUUUUGAUUCUGUACACCCAUUUACAAUCGAUGAUAUUUUUGCCUUUUGGGUUUGGUACAAGAUGCCAGGUUUUGUUCCUCAUAAGUGCAGAAUAUUCCUCAUCCAUUGCCUUCUUCCACUUAGGAUCGUCAAGUGCACUACUCAACGUUGUUGGCUCUCCUGAAAUACACAACAUUCCAUAUGGAAUGCUGGCCACAGAAGAUCCUGACGAGCCUGCAUGUGCUGACACAAGGGAAUCUGCCGCCUCCUGCGCAGAUGAUCCUGCAGCCGAAGGUGUGGCCGCCUCCCCAGAGCGCACACAAGGGCCAACCGCCCGGUCCGGCACAGCCGAUCCGCUGCCCGACCGCGGUUGCGGGCGCACGCAGGGCGAGGGGGAUCCGGCCCCACUGCUGGUCCCUCCUGUUGCUGAGGUGGCGGCGCGGGAGUGGCCCUCCCUGGAUUCAUUGCCGCAGCUGACAGAGGCGCGAUCCAAGGCGGAUCUGCUCGCGCGAUUCGAGGUCUGCCCGCGCACAGGAGUUCCAGGCGCCGCGGAUCACCUUCGUUGUCCGUGCCAGAGACCUGCACAGGCAACAGAGAAGAGCAAGUACUAG